UAAGGUCCCAAGUCGCAAAUACAUCACGGGGACGACUAUCCCUGCACUAAAACAUAAAGUAACGGAGCAUGUUUUAGGAAAGCUAGGGGAGGCAGGGACCAUAAGCUUUUCAACUGACAUCUGGAGCAGCCAAGUCUCCCCACUUUCCCUGCUUAGCUUGACAGCCCACUUGGUAAACUUGGAAACAUUCACUCCAGAAAGCGUCAUACUUCAUGCGAAUGAAUUCAAGGGAUCACACACGGGCGAAGCUAUUGCAGGAGCAAUAGAGCGCAUGCUGCUCAACUGGAGCAUCCCGAAGUCAAAGGUAACGUAACUUUUCUAGUCUAGACUUUGAAAGAAAUGCCGCAGUAAUUUGCGGCAGUAAUUUGAGCCGUAGAAGUAAAGGUGUGUGUGUGUGUGUGUGUGUGUGUGUGUGUGUCGUGCUCUCUAUUGCGACUUGUCUAUUUAAGCAAUAUAGCACUCGUGGGAGUGGGGUAGAUAAGGGAUUAUCCCUUACCUACCCCACUCCCACGAGUGCUAUAUUGCUUUUAUAAAACAAUUCUACCGUCAACAAAUUAACAUUUCAACACGAAGAUGCUUUGGUUAAUUUUUAUUAUUAUAAUUACAUUAUUAUUAAUAAUAUUAUUAUUAUUAUUAUUAUUAUUAUUAAAGGUCCAUGCCAUUCUUCGGGACAAUGCAAGCAAUAUGAAGAAGGCAAUGAGGGACCUGGGAGUCUCCAGCCUGGGAUGUUUCUCGCACAUGAUUCAACUCGUGGUGCACGAUGGACUGCUGUCCCAGCGAAGUGUGGGCGAUGCGCUGACCAGUGGGAGAAAAAUAAUUGGGCACUUCAAACAUUCCCCAUUGGCCACAUCAAGACUUGAAACUGUCCAGACGGGACUGGGAAUGCCAGUCAAACGUCUGAUCCAAGAUGUUCCCACCCGCUGGAACAGCACCUUUUAUAUGACUGCGAGCCUGCUGGAGCAAAAGAGUGCCAUCUCACUCUAUGCUGCAGACCACCAGCUCCCAGCAACACUGACAGCAAGUGACUGGACCUUGCUGGAGAAAAUCAACACUCUUCUGGCUCCAUUUGAAGAGAUCAAAAAACAGAUCAGCUUCGCCACCUCCACCACCUCAGAGGUCAUCCCCUCAGUCAUCGUCCUGAAGCGUCUGUUGGCCAAACAGACCACAGAGGACAGCGGGAUAAAAACAAUGAAGGCGACACUUCUAGCAGCUAUGGGCACAAGAUUCCAGACCGUUGAGGCGGAGCCCUUGUACUCUGUUUCAACCAUAUUGGACCCACGUUACAAAGACAGAUACUUCACAAGUGCAGAGAGCAGCAAGCUUGCAAGAAGUGCACUGAGCCAAGAGGUGGAGAAAAAUGAGGAGUCAUCACUGCAGACAACCACCACCGAGGCAGCAGACCCAGCCAGUUAGACCCCACGGAUGACAGCAGAGCCCAACACAAGCAGCUGCUUUAAGGGGCUGUAUGAGGAAUUUCUGCAAGAGCAUGCUGCUGAACAAGGUGGGGCCAGCAGCACAGUUACACAGGUGCAGAUAGAGACAUAUCUGGCUGAGAAAACAAUCCACCGCACAGAGAGCCCAUUCGAGUACUGGGGAAAGAAUAAAGAACGGUUCCCCUCCCUGGCUACUACAGCUGCAAAGUUUCUCUCCGCUCCCUCCACCAGCGUAGAUAGUGAGAGGCUUUUCAGCACAGCUUCUAACAUACUUGAUGAGAAGAGGAAUAGGCUGUCAGGAGAUCAUGUAGAAACACUAAUCAUCCUCAAGAAAAAUCUGCCAAUGUACCUGAGCUUGAACCCCAAAGACUUGAAUCCUCAAAAGUAAACAAGAGUAAACACUACUAGGUGUUGUGUGACAGAUCUGUCACUGAUUAAUGCUAUUUGUUCUUACCUCAGAUACGUUAAAUUAAUGCAGCUAUCUCUCAAAUGUACCUCAUAUGUAUAUUAUUUCUUAUUUUAAUACAAUUUAACGUUCUACUUCUUACUGUUGCACUAGUUUUAUACACUAGUAUUAUGUUAUAAUUUUAUGAAGGUUGCACUAUUUUGGCAUUUGAGAGCCAAAACUCAGGGUUUUUAAGAGUUUGUAAUGUAUUUUUAAUGUAAUAUAAUUUUAAUGUAUUUUACUUUCUUACUGUUGCACUGUUGCACUGUUCACUUCUAUUAUACAUGUUCUAAUUUCAUGAAUGUUGCACUAUGUUGGCCUUUGAGAGCCAAAAGUUUAUUCAGCUAUUGUUGUCACCCAUACCAGGUAGGCAAUAAAAAGUUCUACUGGAUUCA
Gadus macrocephalus (Pacific cod) is the source of this 2273-nucleotide RNA transcript. It is a transcript of the gene named zinc finger BED domain-containing protein 4-like, with no coding region annotated. The transcript has 3 exons. NCBI's taxonomy places the organism in Eukaryota, Metazoa, Chordata, Actinopteri, Gadiformes, Gadidae. The record is from RefSeq and is a predicted model, not a curated record.